Molecule: ribosomal RNA, 440 nt
Filed under: Pethia ticto (Ticto barb)
Lineage: Eukaryota; Metazoa; Chordata; Actinopteri; Cypriniformes; Cyprinidae
Description: eukaryotic LSU rRNA
Rfam family: Eukaryotic large subunit ribosomal RNA (bases 332-440)
Source: RNAcentral
GGACACAUUGAUCAUCGACACUUCGAACGCACAUUGCGGCCCAGGUAAUUGCCUGGGCCACGUCUGGCUGAGUGUCGCGUUUCGAUCGAUCGGGGCCUCCGGGCCCCGCGGCUGGAGCGUCGUAGGGGGAUUCCUCGACCGGACUCCCUCCGUCCUCCUAAGUUCAGACCGCCAUCGGGGGUUUGGGAGUGUCCUCCUCUCCCGCGGCUGCCGGUGGGACCGAACCACCCUCCGCUGCCCGCGCGAUGUGGAUCCCCAGUCUCCCGUCUCGGCAGAGACGGUCUUCAGGCCAGCCUCCCUCCGGGGAGCGGCCGCUCGAUCAUCCCACGUCCGACCUCAGCUCAGGCGAGACGACCCGCUGAAUUUAAGCAUAUUACUAAGCGGAGGAAAAGAAACUAACAAGGAUUCCCUCAGUAGCGGCGAGCGAAGAGGGAAGAGCC